GUGCUCAGUGGUGGGCUUGGUGUUAUGCUUGCUUGUCUGUAUGGUUCAGAUUAUUAGCUAAGUCAGUUGCCCCUCCUCUAUCUAUGCAUCAGCUUUGAUGGGAGUCCAUGUCACAAGAAAGUGGAGGGGCCGGCACCUCAAGUCUGGAGCUGGGACAUCGGGCAGUAUUGAGAAUUACAGGACAUUGUCUUCAUUGUAUAUGGUGGAGGGGCUACGGUCUGUGCCAUUACCUGACACUACUUUAGGUAUUGGAACAUGUUCAUACGGGAGCCUCUGUGCUCAAACCAAAUCCUGAUGAUCCCCUGUGAAGACCUGACAAUAUAACUAAAGAGCGGCACCCGCCAUGUGAAGAACUUUCUCUUUAUUAAACUUUCAUGUUUUAUCCAGUGCGAUCUCUGAGGACGUUACGUGGGGACCUGGGGGACGCACCAUAUUCUGAUCGGGAACUCUACAGAUGCCGGAUUCUUCUGCUGUUGUGUUGUAUGAGAUAGAAGUGAAGAGUUAAUGUGUCUGUUCUGUUUUUUGGAGGUGAUCACACGUCGGCCAUGUUUGUCCAGGGUCUCGGAGAACACUCGUUGUACUCUGCCGCCUCCUGGGAAAUGGGUAGAUUUCAGGGAGAUUUAUUAUGUGAUCAGAGCCAACGCCGUCCGAUCAUCCAGAACUAUAAACAUCCGCCUGCGUUACCGUCUCUUCUUCCACCCAGGAGAUAUCACACACAAUCUGUAACCGCCAAUAACCAUCCCCCGCUCUGCGGCGGCCGACCAUCUGAGGGGUCUCAGCACCCGACCCCCCACACAACGUAAUGAGACGUAAGAGGAUAAAUCACCAGAAAAUAAAGGAAUCUAGGACGCUUACACCGCGACCCUGAUCAAUGGGACGUCUCUAUGUACAUCUGCACGAGAGGCCUACGCUGUCCUGGAGAAGACCCCCCCGGCUGUGGCCGUACUGAGGUCCUCGGGGGUGUUCCUGAUCUUUCUAGGGAAGGUUUUGGUCGUGUGUUUCACGCUGUUUGGUGGCCUCAUGGCUUUUAACUAUCGCCGUGAAUUACACGUGUGGGCCAUCCCCCUGCUCCUGGUCGCCUUCUUUGCCUAUCUGGUCGCCCACAGCUUCCUGUCGGUGUUUGAGGCGGUCAUGCGCAGUCUGCUCCUGUGUUACGCCAUAGACGUGGAGACCAAUGACGGCUCCUCUGAGAAACCGUAUCUGAUGGAUGAAGACCUCAUGACAUUAAUAAACCAAAGCAGCUGUGACCGGGAGAUGGUAAAGAAUUGUCGACUGCAGAACGGGGAGGAUGGAACAGAACUGCGGCCAAUAGCGAGAGUGGAGAGCGCCCGCUGCUAGAUGAUCCCCGGCCCAGAACAUGGAGCAUUUUGGGUCACCAAGGGGUUAAUGAUUUUCUACUUCUUCACAUGAGAUGAGAAGAUUUCCUGUUGUAUAGAGAGCGGCGUCCAGCGCACAUUUCACCGCCGGCGCUCUACAAUCCACAUGGGACACAUUUUUUAUAAAGAAUUGUAUUUUGUAAAGUUCCCUUCUAGUCGUAGAGUCCUGCAGGACGGUGAUAUGAUGUAAGUAUGUGACCCCCUGCAGUUAUCGCCUUCGGUGGACGUUGUCCUUAUGAUGUGGCCUCUGUGCAGCCGUUCGGCUCCGUUCACAAUUACAAAUGUAAAAUGAAAUUCCACAUCAGCUGCAAAAUGAAGAUCCGGGACUUGUUUGGGGCCUCCCUGUCUAUGGAAUGGUUUUUGGCAUAUUUUUGGGUCUGUCAGCAUUUACAUAGUAAAAAAGUCCAUCAUGUUCACCCUAUAACCCUAAUGAGUCCCUACUGAUCCAGAAGAGGCAAAACCCCUCAUACUAGAGGUAAAAACUCCUUCCCGACUCCAAAUAUCAGAAUAAAUCCCUGGAUCAGCGUUCUGUCCCUAUAAAUCUAUUAUACAUAACCAGAAUGUUAUUAUUCUCCAAAAAUAUAUCCAGACCCUUUAUAUUCUAUUACAGAGGUCACCAUGACACCUCCUCCGGGAGAGAACCCCACAGUCUCACUGCUCUUACAGUAAAGAACCCCUGUGCUGGUGUAGAAACCUUCUUUCCUCUAGACAUAGAGGAUGCCCCCAUGUUAUAUAUACAGUCCUGAUAUAUUAUAUAUAUUAUUAGGUCCCCUCCUUGUUAUAUAUACAGUCCUGAUAUA
Molecule: RNA transcript, 2176 nt
Organism: Hyla sarda
Lineage: Eukaryota; Metazoa; Chordata; Amphibia; Anura; Hylidae
Gene: SLC44A3
Gene name: solute carrier family 44 member 3
Exons: 4
Source: RefSeq, a predicted model, not a curated record